CGGGGCGUAGCGCAGUCUGGCAGCGCACCUGCUUUGGGAGCAGGGGGUCGGAGGUUCAAAUCCUCUCGCCCCGACCA
Molecule: transfer RNA, 77 nt
Filed under: Planctomycetota bacterium
Lineage: Bacteria; Pseudomonadati; Planctomycetota
Description: Planctomycetes bacterium (marine metagenome) tRNA-Pro
Rfam family: tRNA
About the family: Transfer RNA (tRNA) molecules are approximately 80 nucleotides in length. Their secondary structure includes four short double-helical elements and three loops (D, anti-codon, and T loops).
Source: RNAcentral